CGCAGCCGCGGUAAUUCCAGCUCCAAUAGCGUAUAUUAAAGUUGUUGCAGUUAAAAAGCUCGUAGUUGAAUUUCGGGAUUGACGUGAUGGUCAUGCCUUAAGGGGUACGAACUGUUACUGUUGAUUUCUCACCUUCUGGAGAAACUUGAUGUCCUUUAUUGGGUGUCUUGCGGAUCCAGGACCUUUACCUUGAAAAAUUAGAGUGUUUAAAGCAGGCAUUUUUGCUCGAAUACAUUAGCAUGGAAUAAUAGAAUAGGACGGCAUGGUUCUAUUUUGUUGGUUUCUAGGAUCACCGUAAUGAUUAAUAGGGAUAGUUGGGGGCAUUAGUAUUCAAUUGUCAGAGGUGAAAUUCUUAGAUUUAUUGAAGACUAACUACUGCGAAAGCAUUUGCCAAGGAUGUUUUCAUUAAUCAAGAACGAAAGUUAGGGGAUCGAAGACGAUCAGAUACCGUCGUAGUCUUAACCAUAAACUAUGCCGACUAGGAAUCAGACGAUGUUAAUUUUUA
This 505-nucleotide ribosomal RNA is filed under the name uncultured Entrophospora. RNAcentral's name for it is "SSU rRNA". It matches the Rfam family "Eukaryotic small subunit ribosomal RNA", at positions 569 to 1072 of the family's 1831-position model. Lineage: Eukaryota; Fungi; Glomeromycota; Glomeromycetes; Entrophosporales; Entrophosporaceae. The record is from RNAcentral.